GACGAACGCUGGCGGCGUGCUUAACACAUGCAAGUCGAACGGAAAGGCCCUGCUUUUGUGGGGUGCUCGAGUGGCGAACGGGUGAGUAACACGUGAGUAACCUGCCCUUGACUUUGGUAUAACUUCAGGAAACUGGGGCUAAUACCGGAUAGGAGCUCCUGCUGCAUGGUGGGGGUUGGAAAGUUUCGGCGGUUGGGGAUGGACUCGCGGCUUAUCAGCUUGUUGGUGGGGUAGUGGCUUACCAAGGCUUUGACGGGUAGCCGGCCUGAGAGGGUGACCGGCCACAUGGGGACUGAGAUACGGCCCAGACUACUACGGGAGGCAGGAGUGGGGAAUAUUGCACAAUGGGCGGAAGCCUGAUGCAGCAACGCCGGGUGCGGGAUGACGGCCUUCGGGUGGUAAACCGCUUUCGCCUGUGACGAAGCGUGAGUGACGGUAAUGGGGAAAGAAGCACCGGCUAACUACGU
RNAcentral lists this ribosomal RNA (467 nucleotides) under uncultured bacterium. RNAcentral describes it as "partial 16S ribosomal RNA". It matches the Rfam family "Bacterial small subunit ribosomal RNA", at positions 28 to 506 of the family's 1533-position model. The record is from RNAcentral.